This is a long non-coding RNA of Carya illinoinensis, 596 nucleotides long. RefSeq lists it as uncharacterized. Lineage: Eukaryota; Viridiplantae; Streptophyta; Magnoliopsida; Fagales; Juglandaceae. The record is from RefSeq and is a predicted model, not a curated record. The transcript is spliced from 2 exons.
AAGCCCAAUCAUACGGCCUAUGUGGCUAAUGCUGGUUCGCGCAAGGCAUCAAGGCCUAAGCGCAAGAAGUCCAAGAAUGGAGUAGCUGCUGGACAUAUUAAAAAAGUGUCAGGAACUUCUCAGCGCGCCAAGAGGGGCAAGCGUGGGAAAAACAAGUCAAAAUUAGAGUGUUUCAACUGCGGAAAGAUUGGCCACUUCGCUCGUGACUGCACUGAGCCGAAGAAGGAGCGACCGAGCACAUAGCGCGAGAUAGAGUCGGAUUUGUGGAGUAUCGCCGGAUUCCAACUGGGAGCCGUGAUAUCAAGGUGGGGAAUGGAGCUAGCGUGGAGGUACUGGGACUUGGUACCUACAAGCUGGACUUGCGGGGUGGCCGCACUCUUUUCCUUCACAAUGUGCUAUAUGCUCCCGAGAUCCGACGAAACUUACUUUCAGUUGUUACUCUAUUGAAACUUGGUUUUCGAAUUGUAUUUGAAAACAAUUAUGUUUCCUUUCAUUUGGGGCAUGUGUUUUAUGGCAAAGCUUUUCUUCGAGACGGUUUUAUGAUAUUGGAUUUGGUUUAUUCUAAUAUAAAUGAAUCCAUUGCUUUUCUUUCUUCA